Molecule: transfer RNA, 72 nt
Filed under: Fukomys damarensis (Damara mole-rat)
Lineage: Eukaryota; Metazoa; Chordata; Mammalia; Rodentia; Bathyergidae
Rfam family: tRNA
About the family: Transfer RNA (tRNA) molecules are approximately 80 nucleotides in length. Their secondary structure includes four short double-helical elements and three loops (D, anti-codon, and T loops).
Source: Rfam by way of RNAcentral
GGAGGUGUAGCUCAGUGGUAGAGCACUUGCCUGCCGUGUACAAGGCCUGGGGUUCAAUGCCCAGCACUGCCA